CCCUUAGAUGUUCUGGGCGGCCCGCGCACUACAAUGGCGCUUUCAGCGAGUUCCUAUGUUGAAUUUUCCUGGGUAUUCUUGGAAGCGGCGUCUUGACUUGGGAUAGAUCCUUGUAAUUGUUGGUUUUGAACGAGGAAUUCCUUGUAAUCGCGGUCGAUCAGCUCGCGUUGAAUACGUCCCUGCCCUUUGUACACACCGCCCGUCGCUCCUACCGAUGAAUCGUCCGGUGAAGUUCACAGAGUGGCGGUUCGUGGAGUUGCUCGCGAAGUGAAAUGGACCUCACGAUUUAGAGGAAGGAGAAGUCGUAACA
RNAcentral lists this ribosomal RNA (310 nucleotides) under uncultured eukaryote. RNAcentral's name for it is "partial 18S ribosomal RNA". It matches the Rfam family "Eukaryotic small subunit ribosomal RNA", at positions 1470 to 1796 of the family's 1831-position model. The record is from RNAcentral.